Non-coding RNA from Bacteroidetes bacterium GWF2_40_14, 70 nucleotides. The record is from Rfam. NCBI's taxonomy places the organism in Bacteria, Pseudomonadati, Bacteroidota.
UAAUCGUGGAGACCAGUAACCACAUUAAAAAACGGGGCGAUCCCGAAAAGCCACAAGAGUAGGGAAAUUA